This 253-nucleotide ribosomal RNA is filed under the name uncultured bacterium. RNAcentral's name for it is "partial 16S ribosomal RNA". It matches the Rfam family "Bacterial small subunit ribosomal RNA", at positions 524 to 776 of the family's 1533-position model. The record is from RNAcentral.
UACGUAGGGUGCGAGCGUUAAUCGGAAUUACUGGGCGUAGAGCGUGCGCAGGCGGUUUUGUAAGCCAGAUGUGAAAGCCCCGGGCUUAACCUGGGAAUGGCAUUUGGGACUGCAAGGCUGGAGUUUGGCAGAGGAGACUGGAAUUCCUGGUGUAGCAGUGAAAUGCGUAGAUAUCAGGAGGAAUACCGAUGGCGAAGGCAGGUCUCUGGGCUAUAACUGACGCUCAUGCACGAAAGCGUGGGGAGCAAACAGG